GGCUCGGUGAUGUGGACGUGCCGCAAGGUAAGCACUGCUCUGGUCGGGUCUUUCCUUCUGGGGAACCAGCGUGCUCUUAAUUGAGUGCGCUGGGGAUCCAGGACUUUUACUUUGAAAAAAUUAGAGUGUUUAAAGCAGGCAUACGCUUGAAUACAUUAGCAUGGAAUAAUAGAAUAGGAC
Molecule: ribosomal RNA, 180 nt
Filed under: uncultured Glomeromycotina
Lineage: Eukaryota; Fungi; Glomeromycota
Description: partial small subunit ribosomal RNA
Rfam family: Eukaryotic small subunit ribosomal RNA (bases 91-180)
Source: RNAcentral